GAUGAACGCUGGCGGCGUGCCUAAUACAUGCAAGUCGAGCGAACGGACGCGAAUCUUGCUUCUCUGAUGUUAGCGGCGGACGGGUGAGUAACACGUGGAUAACCUACCUAUAAGACUGGGAUCACUUCGGGAAACCGUAUCUAAUACCGUAUAAUAUUUUGCACCGCAUGGUUCAAAAGUGAAAGACGGUCUUGCUGUCACUUAUAGAUGGAUCCGCGCUGCAUUAGCUAGUUGGUAAGGUAACGGCUUACCAAGGCAACGAUGCAUAGCCGACCUGAGAGGGUGAUCGGCCACACGGGAAGUGAGACACAGUCCAGACUCCUGCGGGAGGCAGCAGUAGGGAAUCUUACGCAAUGGGGGAGAGCCUGACAGAGCAACGCGGCGUGAGUGAUGAAGGUCUUCGGAUCGUAAAAAGAUGUUAUUAGGGGAGAACAUAUGUGUAAGUAACUGUGCACAUCUUGACGGUACCUAAUCAGAAAGCCACGGCUAACUACGUG
This 497-nucleotide ribosomal RNA is filed under the name uncultured bacterium. RNAcentral describes it as "partial 16S ribosomal RNA". It matches the Rfam family "Bacterial small subunit ribosomal RNA", at positions 28 to 507 of the family's 1533-position model. The record is from RNAcentral.